Molecule: ribosomal RNA, 465 nt
Filed under: Vreelandella stevensii
Lineage: Bacteria; Pseudomonadati; Pseudomonadota; Gammaproteobacteria; Oceanospirillales; Halomonadaceae
Description: partial 16S ribosomal RNA
Rfam family: Bacterial small subunit ribosomal RNA
Source: RNAcentral
CCUACGGGGGGCAGCAGUGGGGAAUAUUGGACAAUGGGCGAAAGCCUGAUCCAGUCAUGCCGCGUGUGUGAAGAAGGCCUUCGGGUUGUAAAGCACUUUCAGUGGGGAAGAAAGCCUUGGGGCUAAUACCCUCGAGGAAGGACAUCACCCACAGAAGAAGCACCGGCUAACUCCGUGCCAGCAGCCGCGGUAAUACGGAGGGUGCGAGCGUUAAUCGGAAUUACUGGGCGUAAAGCGCGCGUAGGCGGUCUGAUAAGCCGGUUGUGAAAGCCCCGGGCUCAACCUGGGAACGGCAUCCGGAACUGUCAGGCUAGAGUGCAGGAGAGGAAGGUAGAAUUCCCGGUGUAGCGGUGAAAUGCGUAGAGAUCGGGAGGAAUACCAGUGGCGAAGGCGGCCUUCUGGACUGACACUGACGCUGAGGUGCGAAAGCGUGGGUAGCAAACAGGAUUAGAUACCCUGGUAGUC